Molecule: non-coding RNA, 624 nt
Organism: Clarias gariepinus (North African catfish)
Lineage: Eukaryota; Metazoa; Chordata; Actinopteri; Siluriformes; Clariidae
Source: the annotation of a RefSeq genome assembly
UGGGGUGUAAAUUUUAAGAAAUAAACAAUGAUCAAUUUCUGGAUUUUGAUUGUGAGCUUUAGCACCAUCUAUACAGUUCUAACAGUUCAUCAGCCUGAUAAAGAGCUCAGUGUGAAUAUUGGAAGCUCAGCUACUCUCCGGUGUUGUAUUUCUGCAAAUGAAGUUGGGAUAAUUGCCUGGUUUAAACAACCAAACAGACAAAAACCUCGGAUUAUGGUCACAAUAUAUAAAAGUGCUGGAGAAACAUUUUAUGAUGGAUUUCAAAAAUCUGAUUUUAAAAUUGAAAGAUUUUCAAACUGCUUUAAUAUGACCAUUUUAAAAACCACUCAGUCUGAUGAAGCCAUGUACUACUGUGCACUGAUGGAAAAUAACCCUGUGUUUGCAGAUGGAACUUAUUUAAAAAUUAAAGAUGUGCAUGCUACUACUGCAUCAGAAACAUCUGUACCACAUCUGUGUGAUAGUUCAGUCAUGUUUAAACCAACACUGCAUGGAAACAGCACUAACAUGAAAACAGUGUUGGGUUUGGGGACGGCUUUAAGUGUGUGUGCACUUCUGAUAUUCUGUCUCAUUUAUUUUGUACUGAGAAGAAAAACUAUAGUAAACUCCAGAGGUAAAGGGCACUGA